Molecule: ribosomal RNA, 366 nt
Filed under: Triticum aestivum (bread wheat)
Lineage: Eukaryota; Viridiplantae; Streptophyta; Magnoliopsida; Poales; Poaceae
Description: partial small subunit ribosomal RNA
Source: RNAcentral
AUGCGGGGGCGGGGGCGGGGUCGGCUGAGGUCGGGUCCGGUGAAGAACAGACCGAGGGUUGGGUUCGGUGCAUGCAUAUGUAUGUAUGCCGUCAGCGGUCGCUGUCUCAUGGCCCUCUGCCGCGAUCGUCGAUCCGCCACCGCCUCCCCCUCGGCCGAAAACCGCGGGCGCUCGCGUGGCGGCGUGCCUCCCGCCGCGGGUUGCGUGGCACGGCUGUUUCCGCGCGCGGUAGUGAAGGCGCUCGUGGUCCGCUCCGUUGCUCGGCCGGGCUGGAUUGGAUUGCAGGUUGACCACAAAAGGCCUAAAAGGCCCCUCCCUCUUUUUUGCGGGAUUUUAUUCUUGCGAAAAAGAUCAGAUCUAUUGUAG